This 474-nucleotide ribosomal RNA is filed under the name uncultured organism. RNAcentral describes it as "partial 16S ribosomal RNA". It matches the Rfam family "Bacterial small subunit ribosomal RNA", at positions 330 to 796 of the family's 1533-position model. The record is from RNAcentral.
CGUACACUCCUGCGGGAGGCAGCAGUGGGGAAUAUUGCACAAUGGGCGCAAGCCUGAUGCAGCCAUGCCGCGUGUAUGAAGAAGGCCUUCGGGUUGUAAAGUACUUUCAGCGGGGAGGAAGGCGAUAAGGUUAAUAACCUUGUUGAUUGACGUUACCCGCAGAAGAAGCACCGGCUAACUCCGUGCCAGCAGCCGCGGUAAUACGGAGGGUGCAAGCGUUAAUCGGAAUUACUGGGCGUAAAGCGCACGCAGGCGGUCUGUCAAGUCGGAUGUGAAAUCCCCGGGCUCAACCUGGGAACUGCAUUCGAAACUUGCAGGCUAGAGUCUUGUAGAGGGGGGUAGAAUUCCAGGUGUAGCGGUGAAAUGCGUAGAGAUCUGGAGGAAUACCGGUGGCGAAGGCGGCCCCCUGGACAAAGACUGACGCUCAGGUGCGAAAGCGUGGGGAGCAAACAGGAUUAGAAACCCUAGUAGUCC